GACGAACGCUGGCGGUGUGCUUAACACAUGCAAGUCGAACGGUAAGGCCCUUUCGGGGGUACACGAGUGGCGAACGGGUGAGUAACACGUGAGUAACCUGCCCUCAUCUCUGGGAUAACAGUCGGAAACGGUUGCUAAUACUGGAUAUGAGCUUGCAAGGCAUCUUGUGGGUUGGAAAGAUUUUUUGGUUGGGGAUGGACUCGCGGCCUAUCAGCUUGUUGGUGAGGUAGUGGCUCACCAAGGCUUCGACGGGUAGCCGGCCUGAGAGGGCGACCGGCCACAUUGGGACUGAGAUACGGCCCAGACUCCUACGGGAGGCAGCAGUGGGGAAUAUUGCACAAUGGACGGAAGUCUGAUGCAGCAACGCCGCGUGCGGGAUGACGGCCUUCGGGUUGUAAACCGCUUUCAAUUGUGACGAAGCUUUUUGG
This 428-nucleotide ribosomal RNA is filed under the name Arachnia propionica. RNAcentral's name for it is "bacterial SSU rRNA". It matches the Rfam family "Bacterial small subunit ribosomal RNA", at positions 28 to 458 of the family's 1533-position model. The record is from RNAcentral. Lineage: Bacteria; Bacillati; Actinomycetota; Actinomycetes; Propionibacteriales; Propionibacteriaceae.